Molecule: long non-coding RNA, 299 nt
Filed under: Homo sapiens (human)
Lineage: Eukaryota; Metazoa; Chordata; Mammalia; Primates; Hominidae
Description: HSALNT0013181
Source: RNAcentral
UGGGGAGGAGGCCAUAGCCUCCUUGUGGGAGGAAUUGGAGGGACUACAUGAAAAAACAACUUUCUGACCCUAAACGAAAGACCUUCUCUCUUCUGUUUUUGGAAUCUUUUUGCAGGGGCAGAAACCCAGAGGCAAAGAGCAUGCUGAUCAGAAGCAGAGUUAAGUUAUGGCACAUUCAUACUAUAGACUAUUAUAUACCUAUUUAAAGAAUGAAUUCUAUCUAUAGCUGUAGACAUGGCUGGCUGAAGGGGUGGGAAUUUCCAUGCUAUAUUUUUAGGACGUGAGAACAGAGAGAGUAU